This 27-nucleotide small RNA is filed under the name Bombyx mori (domestic silkworm). RNAcentral's name for it is "ovarian small RNA-8364". The record is from RNAcentral. Lineage: Eukaryota; Metazoa; Arthropoda; Insecta; Lepidoptera; Bombycidae.
UGAUGGAGAGGUGCUAUUCGCUAGGAG